Molecule: long non-coding RNA, 240 nt
Organism: Thalassophryne amazonica
Lineage: Eukaryota; Metazoa; Chordata; Actinopteri; Batrachoidiformes; Batrachoididae
Exons: 3
Source: RefSeq, a predicted model, not a curated record
AAGACAACAUAUUUAAUGUUCAAACUGAUAGACUUUUUUGUUUUUUUUGGAAAAGUGUACUGUGGUCUGAUGAGUCCACAUUUCAGAUUGUUAUGGGAAAUCAUGAACAUCAUGUCCGCUGGACAAAACAGGAAAAAGACCAUCCAGAUUGUUACCAGCGCAAAAUUCAAAAGCCAGGAUCUGUGAUGUAUGGGGGUGUGUUAGUGCCCAUGGCAUGGGCAACUUACACAUCUGUGAUGG